UGGUACUUGUACCGACUGGAUGAGCAGCGAACGGGUGAGUAACGCGUGGGGAAUCUGCCUUUGAGCGGGGGACAACAUUUGGAAACGAAUGCUAAUACCGCAUAAAAACUUUAAACAUAAGUUUUAAGUUUGAAAGAUGCAAUUGCAUCACUCAAAGAUGAUCCCGCGUUGUAUUAGCUAGUUGGUGAGGUAAAGGCUCACCAAGGCGAUGAUACAUAGCCGACCUGAGAGGGUGAUCGGCCACAUUGGGACUGAGACACGGCCCAAACUCCUACGGGAGGCAGCAGUAGGGAAUCUUCGGCAAUGGACGAAAGUCUGACCGAGCAACGCCGCGUGAGUGAAGAAGGUUUUCGGAUCGUAAAACUCUGUUGGUAGAGAAGAACGUUGGUGAGAGUGGAAAGCUCAUCAAGUGACGGUAACUACCCAGAAAGGGACGGCUAACUACGUGCCAGCAGCCGCGGUAAUACGUAGGUCCCGAGCGUUGUCCGGAUUUAUUGGGCGUAAAGCGAGCGCAGGUGGUUUAUUAAGUCUGGUGUAAAAGGCAGUGGCUCAACCAUUGUAUGCAUUGGAAACUGGUAGACUUGAGUGCAGGAGAGGAGAGUGGAAUUCCAUGUGUAGCGGUGAAAUGCGUAGAUAUAUGGAGGAACACCGGUGGCGAAAGCGGCUCUCUGGCCUGUAACUGACACUGAGGCUCGAAAGCGUGGGGAGCAAACAGGAUUAGAUACCCUGGUAGUCCACGCCGUAAACGAUGAGUGCUAGAUGUAGGGAGCUAUAAGUUCUCUGUAUCGCAGCUAACGCAAUAAGCACUCCGCCUGGGGGAGUACGACCGCAAGGUUGAAACUCAAAGGAAUUGACGGGGGCCCGCACAAGCGGUGGAACAUGUGGUUUAAUUCGAAGCAACGCGAAGAACCUUACCAGGUCUUGACAUACUCGUGCUAUUCCUAGAGAUAGGAAGUUCCUUCGGGACACGGGAUACAGGUGGUGCAUGGUUGUCGUCAGCUCGUGUCGUGAGAUGUUGGGUUAAGUCCCGCAACGAGCGCAACCCCUAUUGUUAGUUGCCAUCAUUAAGUUGGGCACUCUAACGAGACUGCCGGUGAUAAACCGGAGGAAGGUGGGGAUGACGUCAAAUCAUCAUGCCCCUUAUGACCUGGGCUACACACGUGCUACAAUGGAUGGUACAACGAGUCGCGAGACAGUGAUGUUUAGCUAAUCUCUUAAAACCAUUCUCAGUUCGGAUUGUAGGCUGCAACUCGCCUACAUGAAGUCGGAAUCGCUAGUAAUCGCGGAUCAGCACGCCGCGGUGAAUACGUUCCCGGGCCUUGUACACACCGCCCGUCACACCACGGGAGUUGGGAGUACCCGAAGUAGGUUGC
Molecule: ribosomal RNA, 1373 nt
Filed under: Lactococcus lactis
Lineage: Bacteria; Bacillati; Bacillota; Bacilli; Lactobacillales; Streptococcaceae
Description: bacterial SSU rRNA
Rfam family: Bacterial small subunit ribosomal RNA
Source: RNAcentral